This 74-nucleotide transfer RNA is filed under the name Sandaracinus sp. RNAcentral's name for it is "tRNA-Gly". It matches the Rfam family "tRNA". Rfam says of the family: Transfer RNA (tRNA) molecules are approximately 80 nucleotides in length. Their secondary structure includes four short double-helical elements and three loops (D, anti-codon, and T loops). RNAcentral also lists the same sequence under 1 other name. The record is from RNAcentral. Lineage: Bacteria; Pseudomonadati; Myxococcota; Polyangiales; Sandaracinaceae.
GCGAGAAUCGUCCAACGGCAGGACACCGGUGCGCCACGCCGAAGAUGUGGGUUCGAGUCCCGCUUCUCGCACCA